CGGGACUCGGAUCUCCGUUUCCGGUUUAGGAGCAAGGUCUAGGGUAGGGGCGGCAGGCGCCAUGUCCGGCCGGGAAGGUGGCAAGAAGAAGCCCCUGAAACAACCUAAGAAGCAGGCCAAGGAGAUGGAUGAGGAAGAUAAGGCUUUCAAACAGAAACAAAAAGAGGAGCAGAAGAAACUUGAGGAGCUAAAAGCGAAGGCCGCGGGGAAGGGCCCCCUGGCCACAGGUGGAAUUAAGAAAUCUGGCAAAAAGUAAGCCGAUUCUUGUGCCUGAAAUGAUGGUGACCGUUGAUUCCAUUCCUAUUUAGACAUCUGGAUCCCCGCUGUAACAUCUUUUGCCACCUAUAGCUAGAAUGAAGUGUUAUGUUGGAGUCUGUUGUAAAUUUAAUAAACUUUUGUAAAAUAAUAAUAAUAAUACACAACAAGUG
Long non-coding RNA from Marmota monax (woodchuck), 428 nucleotides. RefSeq lists it as uncharacterized. The record is from RefSeq and is a predicted model, not a curated record. The transcript is spliced from 4 exons. NCBI's taxonomy places the organism in Eukaryota, Metazoa, Chordata, Mammalia, Rodentia, Sciuridae.